RNAcentral lists this long non-coding RNA (226 nucleotides) under Brassica rapa (field mustard). Its description in RNAcentral is "long non-coding RNA (BRAP_LNC008053)". Lineage: Eukaryota; Viridiplantae; Streptophyta; Magnoliopsida; Brassicales; Brassicaceae. The record is from RNAcentral.
GCAAUUUUUAAAGCUUCUUUACUCAGCAUUUAGACAUGAAUCUAAUGCUUCAAUGUAAGACAGCCAUUUGACAGUAUGCACUAACCUUAAUCAGUUUUAAUUCAUGAAUGCAACAAUACAAUUCAUCACACAUUCAUUUAUAACUUAGGCUAAGCAUUACUAUCAUCACUUAUCAUCAGACAAUGCAUUACUUUCAAUCUGUUUUCAGUUCAUGAGCUUCAAACAA